AGUUCAUCCCUUUACUAUGGUGGCCAAGACAUAUAUUCGCAUUCCUCGAGUAGCCAAACUUCUACAUCAUAUCCUAUUUUUAAGAAAGAUGGAGGAGAAGAUGACCCAAAUGGAAACAAUUCACAGGAUGCUUCUAGAGGUAAUUGGUGGCAAGGUUCGCUUUAUUAUUAGAGCCUAGCCUUCCAAUGCAUAUGAAUUCUCCAUCAGUUUUCCAAGGAAUUCAUAAAGCAAGCAAAUAAUCAUGGAAGACAUGAAUUAUAAACAAAUUUGUGACAUGGACAAAGCCUACUUUGGAUUCUGUAAUAUGAUAUAUUUUUCAUGAUUUUAUCAGGAAAUGAAGGUUGAGAAGUCCUCCACUACAUCAUAUACUCUGCUCUUGGACAAGUUUUCUUUGGCUGAGGAGAGUGGAAUAUGUUUAGAUGUUCUCACUCCCCCCUGAUGUGUGAAAGGGCUGACAAAUGAUAGAUAAUUUAGGCUUUCCUUUUUAAAUGUCAUUAUCGAUGCUUGAGAUUCUGUAUCGAAAAUGCCAUGUCUUUGCUAUGUAUGAAAGUUGCACAACAAAAGUUAAAAUACAAGCAAUAUCCUUUUCCACUAUCAUACAUAAGGAUUCCCCUUUCAAGGAUUAAAAAAAAUUAAAAGCAAGAUAAGUGCAGUGUAAAUAGAAUAUCAACAGAACUUCCAGUGGCAGUGAGCAA
Durio zibethinus is the source of this 695-nucleotide non-coding RNA. The record is from RefSeq and is a predicted model, not a curated record. Lineage: Eukaryota; Viridiplantae; Streptophyta; Magnoliopsida; Malvales; Malvaceae.